Molecule: ribosomal RNA, 117 nt
Filed under: Sinocyclocheilus grahami
Lineage: Eukaryota; Metazoa; Chordata; Actinopteri; Cypriniformes; Cyprinidae
Source: RNAcentral
GCCAACAGCCAUAUUACCCUGCAGCCCAAGACUGGUUGCCCACUGAAGCUAAGCAGGGUUGAGCCUAGUCAGUACCUGGAUGGGAGACCUCCUGGGAAAACUAGGUUGCUGCUGGAA